AUUCAUACGCGUAACAUCAUCCGAUCGGCCAUAUCUCUGAGAAAAUGUAGGCACCAAAACAUAGGUGCUAACGUGCUUGAAAAUGUUAUUUUAUUAUGUUUUAGCCUGUGUUUUUCUUACAACUGUUUUAAUUGAAGUCACUACAGGACUAAAAUGCUUCUGUGAAGAAUGCAUUUUCGCAAAUCAGACCUGUGAGACAAAUGGUGUGUGCAUCACACUGAAGGCUAGGAGGGAUGAUGGGACGUAUAAGAUACGUUACAGAUGUAGUUUAGAAAAUGCGGAACUUCCUCAGAUUCCACAUGGACACAUAUUUGACUGUCUGAAUACCAAACCAUCAGCAGACGAAUCCACGCGACUUUGUUGCAGGGACGAGGACUUCUGCAAUAAAUAUCUCACACCUACAUUUCCUCCUCCCACAACCCAUCCCCCGGCAGUCGGAGAGACUGCUGAGCCGAGGUUGACAUUUGGGACAUUGGAAUUGGUGUGCCUAAUCGCAGGACCAGUAGUGGUGGUCUCCAUCCUGUUUGUCAUUUGUUUCCUCUCCUACAGACAAUGCCAGCAACAGGGGUACUGCUUAACCCCCAAGGGUAUGAUAGACGGACCCAGCGAAACACAACCCUUCAUGCAGCCUGGUCAGAAUGCAGACACCUUGAGGGAAAUGAUAAUAGAAUAUUCUGGAUCUGGAUCAGGACUUCCUUUGCUGGUUCAGAGAACCAUUGCUAGACAGAUACAGCUGGUAGAGAUCAUUGGAAAAGGUCGAUAUGGAGAGGUCUGGCGUGGUCGCUGGAGAGCUGAGAAUGUAGCUGUGAAAAUAUUUUCCUCCCGUGAAGAACGAUCAUGGAUUCGAGAGGCUGAGAUUUACCAAACAGUCAUGCUUAGACAUGAAAAUAUUCUAGGAUUCAUAGCGGCAGAUAAUAAAGAUAAUGGUACAUGGACCCAGUUGUGGCUUGUCACAGAUUACCAUGCCAAUGGUUCGUUGUUCGAUUACCUGAAUAGAACUGUGUUGUCGACCACACAAAUGAUCCGGCUGGCUAUGUCUGCUUCAUGUGGGCUUGCCCACCUUCACAUGGAUAUCGUGGGCACAGAAAUUCAUGCUGGGAAACCAGCCAUUGCUCACCGAGACUUGAAAAGUAAAAACAUUCUGGUGCGGAAUGAUGGAGUCAGUUGCUGUAUAGCAGACUUGGGGCUGGCUGUACGUCAUGACCCUGUAACGGAUGCGGUGGACAUUGCUCCCAAUAACCGAGUCGGGACUAAGCGGUACAUGGCUCCAGAGGUGCUGAAUGACACGAUCAAUAUGAAUCAGUUUGAUUCCUUCAAGAGAGCGGAUGUGUAUUCAUUUGGACUGGUGUUAUGGGAAAUUACUCGUCGGUGUUCAGUGGGAGGUAUAGUUGAGGACUACCAGCUGCCAUUUUAUGAUAUUGUGCCCUCUGAUCCAAGUUUGGAGGACAUGAAGAAAGUGGUUUGUGAUGAUCGCCAGAGGCCAGGGAUCCCCAACAGAUGGCAGACUGUUGAUGUAAGUGCACAACUGUCAAGAAAAGUGUAAUCUGUAAUACAUGUACAUGUGGAACUUUUACUCAGGUGACCUAUUGCUAUUGAUCCGAGUCUGUUGUCAUGCAUGCAUCAUCCGAUAAUAAUUUAGCAUUUUAACUUCUUUUUGAUGACUACCAUUCCAAUUCUUUUCUAAUUUGGUAUGAAGCACCUUUGGGACAAGGGAUUCAGAAAAUGUUUUUUUUAAAGUGCUAAGCGUAGCUUAGGCGCUUAUUGCCGCCAGUUGGGUUUUGCUUUCGUCAUCAUGUUUCCGGUUUAUCGCCACCUACAGGCGAAUUUAUGCAUCGCUGUAGUCAAGUCGUGUUUAAAGUAGUCGUAAUUUUGCAACCAAUCUAGCAUGGGGAUAACAUUCAUAUCUGCAGUUGCAUAUUUUCCCUGGAAAUACAGUUCGUUGAACAGUGAACAAAAUAUGUAUAAAAAGGGUGAUAUUUUUGUUCUCAUUCUUGGGGAAAGUGAGACACAGAUGCAGGUCAUUCUUCAGUUAAAAUUCCCAUUUGAAUCUGCGUCGGUAAUAAUUAAAGUGAUUCAAAAUCUUAAAAUUGAAUAAGAAUGUGUAUAUGAAACCGUUUUAGCUAGGGUGCCUUUGCAUUGUUACCUUCGCAUGGCGCUUAGAGGCCAGGAAAAUCAAUUUGCAUGGUGUAAUCUAUAAUUAGAAGCCACGUCAUUAAGUUGUACACGAGUCAGGAGGGUUUUCCACUUGUGUUUUGGCUGCUGUUCCGACUCAGUAAAAUUUUUGUCCGACGCAGCAAAAAUGUGUGCAACACAGUAAACAAUUAACUGAUCCGCGUCCAUUGUGAACGAGAAAGAAUUUGUGCACGAUUAUGCUUUGACAGUGAAGGACAGAGAUCGGUGUCUCAGAAGGAUGAUAUUGCGUAACUGCUUACACCUUCCCCGAUCAUAUAUGUAAGUCGGUCAUGCAGAAAUUUAGAGGAUGCAACGGUGUAACUUAAGCUUACUUUAUUAUUUCUAAACAACCAAGAUAUUCUUCAGAAUCAUCGUCAACACAAUCAAAUUUGAUUUCGUGAUUUAGUUUCAAAAAUGAGACUAAAAAUAAUAGUCUUGGGGCAAGGAAAAGAUAAAAGGUACAACAUAUAUUAUAUUAUAUCAUAUUAUGGAAGACAAUACCCCGGUUUCAAGUAUUCAAAACACCGCGUGGAAUUUUACGAGCGCUGUAUACUGAAAUACAUAUGUUUAGAACAAGUGUUAGAUAAACAUUGCCAUUGUGUCAAGCAUGAAUGUGAAAUGGUUUGCGGUCCACAGCACGCUACAUACAACGAAAAGUAAUCGUGCUUUCAAUUUCUUUGUACUUCAAACAAACAAUUGACAAUGACAUGCAUAUGCUACAUGUAUUUCCGAACGCACAAAUGAUGAAGGGGGAGGGGCAUGGAUGUACUGUCGUUGUUCCCUGUCCCCACAUUUUGUUUUCGCUGAACGAUCUUUUCAUAUAAAAAAGAUGCAUUUAGUUUUUUGGUGAGAUGCCUCUUCAUUAUUUCUAACAGCGGUUUGAACAUUACCGUUUGAAAAUUACUUUUGUAACUUUUCAGUGCCAAGUUUGGGAUUCUCAUUUAGCUACAUUUACAUGUUGUAAAUUUUGCAUAUUUAUUGCGAGUCACUUCUGUUACGUUUUUUUUUUUUUCAUAUUAGAACUCCUACACAAGCUUCGAAUCUUAUGGUUUUUUGCUAAGGUUAUUAGCAUUUUCAUAUAAACAAUUGUUUUCUAAAAUUAAAACAAUAGCAAUGUGUAUUGUCUCAUUCAGACAAAUGGAUUAGUCUCCUUUGCAAUAUGAAUAUGAGCUUUUACACAAGAAGUGUAAUACACACAAGUUGAUGAGUACAGCGUUUAAUAUACCUGUGUACAAACUCUUGGUUUUUUUGUUUGUUUUUUAGAUUUACGUAUAACAAACAAUCACUACAAUUGCUAAAUGUAAAUCCAUGCUUAUAUGUUAAUCUAAUUCAUCAUCAUAUUUGAAUUAGUAUAUCCUCUUGCACUAACUUUCAUGUUAAAAAUGAGCUAUCUCCACUCUUGUUGAUGACGCAGUAUUCAGUUUCAAAGUAAUAUUGCACAUGUAUGAUGAACAUCUUUUCUAAAUGACUUCCUAAAUUUUGUUUUCAGUUAUACAUGUAUUUAUCAGACUUAUUUGGAUUCAGAUUCUCUCCAACCUGAUUUUGAAUUGAAAAUAACUUCAUUAUUGAUUACAAAAAAUAAUUCCACUUUCAUGGUUUGAUUGCUAUUUACAGAUGAUUAUGCACUGGAUUCUGUAGUGCAAGUCAUACAGAUGCAUGUUUAUGUGUGUAUCUAAAUGAUUUCUGGUAAGGUAAUGAAAUGGAUGUAAAGCAUUUCAUAAUCCUGCAUUAUUGGUGUGUUUUGACAUGUUACAUUUGUUAGUGUAUGUGGUUAUGUGUAAUUUUCUUUUUUGUCCAGUUUGUUUGUUCCUUUCUAUUAUAAGUGACGUACAUAUAUGUAUCAAACUAUUGAUUUGUUUCAUUUCAGUUGUAUUCUAAAUAUAUUUCAUACACUAUUUAACUGGAACACAACAGUAAGUUAGUUGCGUAAUAACAAUUGAACACUUUAUACCGAAAACUACCAUUACAACUGUUUUUACAUUUUCUACCAAAAAUGUUCUUCUCUAUAACAUCACAUCUGUAAGAGAAAAAAAUGCAUAGUCCUGUAGAACAUUUAAUGAUCCAGGGACCGGAGCAGAGCGGAUCAGAAACCCUUGCCUUGGGAAGAUGGGUGGGAGCUAAACAGGGUAUAAAGUGUUCAUUUGUCAAAUAUUUGAAUAACACAGCCUUAAAUGCUAUUGAUUGAUAGCCUUAAAUGCUAUUGAUUGAUUGUAUCUUGUUUAACGUUUUUCUCAAUAAUUUUUAAUUCAUAUGGAGACGUCAUCAAGACCGGUGAAGGGCUUCAAAUUUAGGCCUCUGCUCGGCGCUUACGGCCAUUGAGCAGUGAGGGUUCUUUAGCAUGCCACACCUACUGUGACACGGGACAUCCGUUUUAAAGGCCAUCUCCGAGAACCCGUGACAUUCACACCUGAUGCCGAGAGUUUGGUGAUGGAACUGUCACUACCUGUUUAACGAACUAGGUCUGUCGCGGCCGGUAUUCGAACCCCGACCGCCCUCAUACAGAGCGAACACUUUACCUCUGGACCACCGCAGCGGUGAGUUUAAAAGUGAUGUCACGACUGAUGAGAGAAUGCUGGUAUCAUAAUCCUGCCGCACGUCUGACCACCCUCCGCAUAAAAAAAUCCUUAGAUAAUUUGGCACAGGCUGAAGACCUGAAAAUCUGAUAUUGAAAAGUCAAAACUGUCCAGAA
Ostrea edulis (European flat oyster) is the source of this 4861-nucleotide RNA transcript. It is a transcript of the gene named TGF-beta receptor type-1-like, with no coding region annotated. The transcript has 10 exons. NCBI's taxonomy places the organism in Eukaryota, Metazoa, Mollusca, Bivalvia, Ostreida, Ostreidae. The record is from RefSeq and is a predicted model, not a curated record.